CCUACGGGUGGCAGCAGUGAGGAAUAUUGCACAAUGGGCGGGAGCCUGAACCAGCAAAGCCGCGUGAGGGAUGAAGGCCUUCUGGGCGGAAAACUCUUUUCGCCAGGGAGCAAAUUGCGGUACGUGAGCGGUCAGGCGCGUCUACCUACGUGACAGCAGCCGCGGUAAUACGUAGGCGGCUAGCGUAAUCCGGAUUUACUGAGCGUAAAGCGUGCGUAGGCGGGCUUUUAAGUCAGGGGUGAAAGGCUAGGGCUCAACCGUAGUGAGCCGUUGAAACUGGGAGACUGGAGUGGAGGAGAGGUGAGCGGAAUGCCUAGUGUAGCGGUGAAAUGCGUAGAUAUCAGGCGGAACACCAGUUGCGAAGGCGGCGUGCCGGACUGUAACUGACGCUGAGGCACGAAAGCGUGGGGAGCGAACAGGAUUAGAUACCCGUGUAGUC
RNAcentral lists this ribosomal RNA (439 nucleotides) under uncultured bacterium. Its description in RNAcentral is "partial 16S ribosomal RNA". It matches the Rfam family "Bacterial small subunit ribosomal RNA", at positions 338 to 795 of the family's 1533-position model. The record is from RNAcentral.